RNAcentral lists this ribosomal RNA (472 nucleotides) under uncultured bacterium. RNAcentral describes it as "partial 16S ribosomal RNA". It matches the Rfam family "Bacterial small subunit ribosomal RNA", at positions 28 to 523 of the family's 1533-position model. The record is from RNAcentral.
GACGAACGCUGGCGGCGUGCUUAACACAUGCAAGUCGAACGGGAGUAUCGAAGAAGCUUGCUUUAGAGAUACUUUAGUGGCGGACGGGUGAGUAACGCGUGAGGAGCUGUCCGAUGCAGGGGGACAACAGUUGGAAACGACUGCUAAUACCCCAUAAGCCGAGAGGUAAAAGGAUUUAUCCGGCAAUGGAGGUACUCGCGUCCUAUCAGCUAGUAGGUGAGGUAACGGCUCACCUAGGCGAAGACGGGUAGCCGGCCUGAGCGGGCGAACGGCCACACUGGAACUGAGAUACGGUCCAGACUCCUGCGGGAGGCAGCAGUGGGGAAUAUUGGGCAAUGGGGGGAACCCUGACCCAGCGACGCCGCGUGGGUGAAGAAAUCCUUCGGGAUGUAAAGCCCUGUUGUAUGGGAAGAGCGGAAGACGGUACCAUACGAGGAAGCCCCGGCAAACUACGUGCCAGCCGCCGCAGUAA